GAUGAACGCUGGCGGCGUGCCUAAUACAUGCAAGUCGAGCGAACAGACGAGGAGCUUGCUCCUCUGACGUUAGCGGCGGACGGGUGAGUAACACGUGGAUAACCUACCUAUAAGACUGGGAUAACUUCGGGAAACCGGAGCUAAUACCGGAUAAUAUAUUGAACCGCAUGGUUCAAUAGUGAAAGACGGUUUUGCUGUCACUUAUAGAUGGAUCCGCGCCGCAUUAGCUAGUUGGUAAGGUAACGGCUUACCAAGGCGACGAUGCGUAGCCGACCUGAGAGGGUGAUCGGCCACACUGGAACUGAGACACGGUCCAGACUCCUACGGGAGGCAGCAGUAGGGAAUCUUCCACAAUGGGCGAAAGCUUGACGGAGCAACGCCGCGUGAGUGAUGAAGGUCUUCGGAUCGUAAAACUCUGUUAUUAGGGAAGAACAAAUGUAUAAGUAACUAUGCACGUCUUGACGGUACCUAAUCAGAAAGCCACGGCUAACUACGUG
Molecule: ribosomal RNA, 497 nt
Filed under: uncultured bacterium
Lineage: Bacteria
Description: partial 16S ribosomal RNA
Rfam family: Bacterial small subunit ribosomal RNA
Source: RNAcentral